UAAAAAGCUAUGAAAAAGACGAGUAAAUAAUCUAAUUCUUUUCAGUGAAUUAGUGCUAGUGUGAAACUAAUAGACCCUGGAUUAUUGAAAAACACUUUUAGCAGCUCACCGAAAUAAUAAUUCUUAAAGUAGGUUGAGACGUCUCCGGUACGUUACCACACCGGUGGAGCAUGAUGGUGCUCCAUAAGAGGUCUAUUAUUAGACAAGUUGGGUGGUACCGCGGAAAAAAGCCUUUCGUCCCUAUU
This 245-nucleotide non-coding RNA is filed under the name Lactobacillus acidophilus. RNAcentral's name for it is "T-box sequence". It matches the Rfam family "T-box leader". From Rfam's summary of the family: Uncharged tRNA acts as the effector for transcription antitermination of genes in the T-box leader family. T-boxes are found upstream of many aminoacyl-tRNA synthetase genes and some amino acid biosynthetic genes usually in Gram-positive bacteria. Lineage: Bacteria; Bacillati; Bacillota; Bacilli; Lactobacillales; Lactobacillaceae. The record is from RNAcentral.